UACGUAGGGGGCGAGCGUUGUCCGGAAUUACUGGGCGUAAAGGGUACGCAGGCGGUUUCAUAAGUCAGGUGUAAAAGGCAUUGGCUCAACCAAUGUAAGCAUUUGAAACUGUGAGGCUUGAGUAUAGGAGAGGUAAGUGGAAUUCCUAGUGUAGCGGUGAAAUGCGUAGAUAUUAGGAGGAACACCAGUGGCGAAGGCGACUUACUGGACUAUAACUGACCCCCCGGUACGAAAGCGUGGGGAGC
RNAcentral lists this ribosomal RNA (245 nucleotides) under uncultured Dethiosulfatibacter sp. RNAcentral describes it as "partial 16S ribosomal RNA". It matches the Rfam family "Bacterial small subunit ribosomal RNA", at positions 524 to 769 of the family's 1533-position model. Lineage: Bacteria; Bacillati; Bacillota; Tissierellia. The record is from RNAcentral.